UCGAGCGGUAGCACAGGGAGCUUGCUCCUGGGUGACGAGCGGCGGACGGGUGAGUAAUGUCUGGGAAACUGCCUGAUGGAGGGGGAUAACUACUGGAAACGGUAGCUAAUACCGCAUAACGUCUACGGACCAAAGUGGGGGACCUUCGGGCCUCAUGCCAUCACAUGUGCCCACAUGGGAUUAUCUAUUAGGUGGGGUAAUGGCUCACCUAGGCGACAAUCCCUAUCUGGUCUGAGAGGAUGACCACCCACACUGGAACUGAGACACGGUCCAGACUCCUACGGGAGGCAGCAGUGGGGAAUAUUGCACAAUGGGCGCAAGCCUGAUGCAGCCAUGCCGCGUGUGUGAAAAAAGCCUUCGGGUUGUAAAGCACUUUCACCGAGGAGGAAGGGUACAGUGUUAAUAGCACUUUUCAUUGACGUUACUCGCAGAAAAAACACCGGCUAACUCCGUGCCACCAGCCGCGGUAAUACGGAGGGUGCAAGCGUUAAUCGGAAUUACUGGGCGUAAAGCGCACGCAGGCGGUUUGUUAAGUCACAUGUGAAAUCCCCGCGCUUAACGUGGGAACUGCAUUUGAAACUGGCAAGCUAUAGUCUUGUAUAGGGGGGUAGAAUUCCAGGUGUAGCGGUGAAAUGCGUAUAGAUCUGGAGGAAUACCGGUGGCGAAAGCGGCCCCCUGGACAAAGACUGACGCUCACGUGCGAAAGCGUGUGGAGCAAACAGGAUUAUAUACCCCUGUGUAGUCCACGCUGUAUACGAUGUCGACUUUGUGAGGUUGUGCCCC
Molecule: ribosomal RNA, 783 nt
Filed under: Serratia liquefaciens
Lineage: Bacteria; Pseudomonadati; Pseudomonadota; Gammaproteobacteria; Enterobacterales; Yersiniaceae
Description: bacterial SSU rRNA
Rfam family: Bacterial small subunit ribosomal RNA
Source: RNAcentral